GUGCCUACGGGAGGCAGCAGUGAGGAAUAUUGGUCAAUGGGCUUACGCCUGAACCAGCCAAGUCGCGUGAGGGAAGACUGCCCUAUGGGUUGUAAACCUCUUUUGUCAGGGAGCGACGCCGGCUACGUGUAGCCGGACUGAGAGUACCUGAAGAAAAAGCAUCGGCUAACUCCGUGCCAGCAGCCGCGGUAAUACGGAGGAUGCGAGCGUUAUCCGGAUUUAUUGGGUUUAAAGGGUGUGUAGGCGGAAUGCCAAGUCAGCGGUAAAAUCGCGGGUCUCAACCUCGCUCCUCCGUUGCAACUGGG
RNAcentral lists this ribosomal RNA (305 nucleotides) under uncultured bacterium. RNAcentral describes it as "bacterial SSU rRNA". It matches the Rfam family "Bacterial small subunit ribosomal RNA", at positions 335 to 637 of the family's 1533-position model. The record is from RNAcentral.